CUUAAAGACACGUGCAUGUGUUCAAAGGCAAUAGAAAAAGAGCAGUGUUUCCUAACCGGGGUGACCGUGGCACCCUGGGGUGCCGUCAGAUGAGAGCAGGGGUGCAGUGUAAAAAUCUAAAUGUGCAUAAAAGAUUGAACAAACAUGAUAAAUAUCUGAUGUCUGAAAUGAUGACACGGAAAUAAUAACUCAGACACACACACAAUCAUAAUAAUAAUAAUAAUAAUAAUAAUAAUAAUAAUGCUGUCAUCAGCACGUCGACAUCAGUCUGCGUAACGUACGCGUGUGCUUCAUCCUAAUCAUUAGCGUGUGACGAUGCGUGUGUAGUGCAAAAGAAUAUGGACAGAUUUCUUAAAAGAAAAGCUCCAGAUGCUUCUGGACCAUCAGCUUCAUCCUCAUGUAGCUAACGCUGUCUAGCAUUAGUGUUUGUGUAGGACUGAAAAAGGGUUGAGAAACGCUGGUCUAGAGGCGAUUAAAAAACCCCUGUGCAUUAGAAGAACGCUGAGGUGACCUUUGAGCUUAUCUUUCUCAGUCUGGAUUCCUAAAACCAGCACAAGUCCCAUGGAAUUGGCCGGUGAUGUUCUCGAAGGAGCACAAAACCUCAAGAACAACAUCGUCACACACGUGUCCAACCUGUUCUCGGGGGACGAAGGUGGCGUUUCUGAUCUUAAGUUUGAUCCGGUGAAAGUUGUCACAGACACGGUGGAGGAGCUCUCUGACAGAAGGGACAUGUUUUUAGCAUAUCUCUCUAAUAUCUUGAUGGAGGAUAAAGACGACGCUCCGCACGUGAUCAGGAGAAAAGGUUGGUAUGAAUCAGAAGACGUUGGAUGAAUGAUCAUUCAGUUGUGUAGACCGGUUGGCGUCAGAUUAGCGGUGUAUUCCGCAAAGCAUCCUUCGACACUGCAGUAGACGUUUCAUCGUCUAUCCAAGAAAAAGGCUCCUCACUGAGCUACAAGUAGCGCUCUAUUGAAGGACACGAGCUUCCAUGCUGCGCGCACUCAGCUCCAGAAUCAAUUAUUUCACACGUGCAUCCAUCCCGUCCAUCGUUUUUAACAAUAUAAACAAUCUGUUCAUCCUUAAAUAGUGUAAACUGAUGCACUGUGCGCACUUAUUUUCAUUCUUAGCCUAAACAUGCAUUGUUUUUUUUUUCUUCUAUUUAGCAUUUAACUGCACUAAUAAAACAACCUAACAAUAAAUAGUGAUGUCAUGACUAUAGCUGACUAGUUAACUACUAACCCUAUUACAAAUACAAAGCUGGCAGUUUAUAUUUCCUAUUAUCUUAAACUCUAUACAAAUUGCAGUUCUAUGUUAUUUAUAUUUCCUAAUAUUUCUGCAUGAAAUGUCCACAGGAGAAUUUCUGCCACCGAAGGAAAAAGGUUAGUCAAAAUUAAAUGUACUAUUUACAGUUACACCGUAAUUGGGAGAACGAACCAGAAUGCUUGUCAAUCAAAAUGGCUAAAUUGCUCGGACUGCGUUGACCGAAAAAAAUAAAAAAUAAAAAGGAGCAUGAAUAACAGGUGCAUGACAACAACUGAAUUCACAGUCUACUUUUUAUUUAUUUAUUUGUUUAUUUAUUUAUUUAUUUUGGUCCUAUUACCAUGCCAGGACACAGUAGAUGAAAGGAAAAGCUAAAAAAAAAAAAAUUCAAUUAAUUAAUUAAUUUUAAAAAUCAUGAACCCUGAUGGUGCAUGGGAAAAAUGAAAACGUUCCUGUAUUAACCGAGUGUGUGUUACGUUUUGGUUGUGCUUUCACCUCGGCAUUCAAACCCUUUCUGUACUUUACAUUAUUUUGAAAAACAUUUUAUUUUUUUUAUUUUUUUUUAUGUAUGUGCGAAACCUUUCCAUCUUGUCUAAUAUUCGAUUGGUUGUGCAUGAAAAAUAAAUCCCAGAUACAAAAUAAACGUAUCCAUGUCAAAUGCCUUGCCCUCUGAUUUCCUGUUCUGAUCUCCACUGUUUACACGCAAGUUUGACAGAAUUACCAACUCGGUCUCACAAUUUGUAAGACGGUGUAAAGUUAGGGCGAGGGGCAGAAUUAGCACUCAGAACUUUUCUUUAAGGAAAAUGUUUUUCUUAAAGAAAGACUUUCUUUAUAACAGUCACUGUAGCACUGGCGUUAUUGAGCCGGACGACGUCCUUUGACCCGAGUGCAUGACGAUGUAGGCAUGCUGUCUGCACAGUGCUUAAUUGGAGGCUAUACGUUUCAUGUCGCUAUAGGCUACUUCACCAAACAUAUCUUAACUGGUCAACUACAAUAGAAAUAUAUACAUACUUUUAAUUACAUUUUAAAUAUGAGUUUUGGCCAAAUUGUGUCUUAAUACCUUGAAAUAAAAUCAAAUAACUGUACGUGAGAUUGAGUUGGAAUUGGGUUGAAGUGUAUGUACUGGAAGUGUUUAACCCUCUUAAGUCCAUUCUUAUAACAUUCAUCUCGUCACUUUUACUCAAGUGAGGAAUUAAAACACAAAGGAGCGUGCUGUUAAAGGAAAAUCAUGAAUGACGAGGUGGAACGAUUGGCCACUCACAGCACAUCCUAAAGUCUUUUAUUCCUCUUAUACCACAGCAGUUUGCCAAUUCUAACAACACCGGCACGUAUUUAUCCCGUUAUAGUUAUAGUUUAAUGUUCUGGAAUGUCCAAGUUAAAACAAGAAUCUCUCUCUCUUGAAGCUACCAAGGGGGGAAAAUGCGAAAGCUUCUGUAUCUGAAGACCUAAUGUUACUGCAUUACCUCUGACUGACUGUUACAAAGUUACAAAGCUCUGACACUGGAGACUCCUUCCAAAAAAUUUGAACUAAACAUCUCCGUAUAGAAAGCCUCACUGUAUGAACAAUCACGCAUGUUUUUUUUUUCUUGUUACUACAGAAACGAUAACCUAUUUGAACGAGUGCCUUAAUAUAAACACGUUAUAGAAAAUUAAUCAACACUAAUCAACACUGACCAAUAAUUCGAUUGGUCCAAGAACUGACGUACCGACCCGAGAAUUCAAAGUGCUGUGGUAUCGUUACAUUUAAUUAGGUUAUUUAUUAAUUACACCAACGGUUACAUCUAGAAAGUGGAUAUUGUUUAUUUUAAAUUGUCGAAAGUUUUUAAACGAAUUAAUUCAAUGUAUUUAAUUGAGCUGUGUAGAACACGGGUGUGCGUUAUAUUCUACAUUAUAUUUAUUCAUGCGACCGAGAGCAUUUUAGUUCAAGUUGGAAAUGUGAAAUAUUAACGCCGCUGAGAUUCAAACAUUGCCCUUCAGUUCACUGAUGUUUACUCACUUAACCUGAAGGGUGGAGUUAAUUAUAAAUCUAAAUCUAAAAGCCUAUAAAUUUCGCAUGAGACUGGGUCGGAGUUUUACACCUCAUCAAAUUAUAAAUUUGUAACCACACAACAUGGCUUCAU
Ictalurus punctatus (channel catfish) is the source of this 3377-nucleotide long non-coding RNA. The record is from Ensembl. Lineage: Eukaryota; Metazoa; Chordata; Actinopteri; Siluriformes; Ictaluridae.